This 435-nucleotide long non-coding RNA is filed under the name Cyanistes caeruleus (blue tit). RNAcentral describes it as "lncRNA (ENSCCEG00000008772.1)". The record is from RNAcentral. Lineage: Eukaryota; Metazoa; Chordata; Aves; Passeriformes; Paridae.
AUGCAGAGCUUGGAGCAGAGUUGUGGGGUGACUUGCCACAGAGCCUGUGCUGGAUUUGCUCUGCUUUCUGAUGUGGAGGCACAGCAGGAGCCUCAGCUGCAGGGGACAUGGCCACCUGAGGUGUCCUGGGAAAGGGAAAUCCACUUGCACCAGGUGGGAGCCUGCCCCUUUGCUUUGAACUUCAUCUGCUGGUGUCUGGUGAGGCUCCUGUUUGUGGGAACACUGUCCCUUGGAGCAGGCUUCUUCUGCUGCAGCAGCUGCUGCCCACCACAUCUCUAUGGUCACCUCAGAUUAAUAUUUUUCCACUUAUCACAUAGGUGGAGCUGUUGUCUCUGGUACGUGGAAUUCUGCAUUUCUGGGGAAUGGCAAGAGGCAGAAGGUGUCACUCUGCCUCUGAGGGGGCAGUGGCAGUGUGCUCUUGCUCUCAGGCUUUAA